Motacilla alba alba is the source of this 2709-nucleotide long non-coding RNA. RefSeq lists it as uncharacterized. NCBI's taxonomy places the organism in Eukaryota, Metazoa, Chordata, Aves, Passeriformes, Motacillidae. The record is from RefSeq and is a predicted model, not a curated record. The transcript has 2 exons.
UAGGGCAGGGCUGUGUCCUGCCCUGGACUCACAGUUGCCUGUUUUACUCUGUGAGGCUGAAUAAGAAGGACAGAAAUAGAAGAGUACACAGACACUCCCAAAUAAACUGUGUUGUGUGAUCUAUCUUCCAGAAACAAAUGCAGGAACAAUUGUUACUAGUAACGUGGUUUAUGCCAUACCACUGCGGCUUGGGAAGUAGAUCCUUUAGGUAAAGAAACAUCCUUUACAAAACAUUUGUGGAAUGUAUUUAUCUAAAAAUACAAGGGCUUAUGUAGAGAACAAUGUUAGUCUGCUGAUUUAUAGUUAACUGUCAAUGGCAACACAGGACUAAAACCUUUUAACCAGUCACACUGUAGUAAUGUCUUAACUUUAUCCCUUCUGUACAAUAUCUGUUCCAAGGCUGAUUUCCUUGGCCUCUGCUGCUGCUUUUGGAAGAGUCCCACUCGCUUGGCUCUCCCAUUGUGGGAGGACCAGAAAAGGAGGAUGGAUGAGGAGCAGGAUGACCCUACUCACAGAGGUUUCCCCUCAUCGUGUCGCGGUAGCCAUGUUUCAAGAGGUCGGGAAAUAGACUGCCAACAGGAAAACAAGGAAACGAAGAAACAGGAAAAACCUAUGGAAGGAGAAAUGUCUGCACCUCCUCCCUCCCCUGCAGGGCACUGUUCUUCGUUUCGUUUUCUUUCUAAGCCGUAAAAGCGAAUACAAAAAUUAGGAAGGAGGUAGCCCGCGCCCCCUGCGGAAGGCGCGGCACAGGGGACAGGACAAGGUGACACGACGGGUGCCACGUCAGCUCCUGCCGGUGCCUGCCAACAAAGGUGGCCAUUGAGAGCCACCGUGUGCGAGCGCUGGCGACUGCCGGGGCUCCGACACCGUCUCGGCGCAGGCAGCUGAUGAGCCACGUGAGCGUCUCCUCUUUCGCCUUCUCCUCCUCUCGUCUUCCUCCUCUUCCUCCUCUCCCGCACAAGCUUUCUGUCUGUUUGAGGAGCUGCGGACUCCGGCGUCUUGUCGAAAAUAGGCUCCCCCAGAUGAAUGAGCAGCACUCACCCAAGAACCUACAAAGCAAACAAAAACGUGCUUUCCCCUACCUCAUUGACUGGGGGGUUUUGUCAGCAGCAGGAUAAGGGAAAGCAGCUUUUUAUUUCUGACUCUGGCCAUCCCCCAUGUGCAGCUCCAGCAGGGAUGGAUGUUUUAAGGCACUUCUACUCUAGAAUAUAAAGUUACUCAGCAUUUACAGGUCUAAGUCUUUAGAGAUAUUUUUAUUCUGUGCCUCUUUUGCUGUGCCUGAGAGAGACAUGUUGUGGAUGCUUCCAACUAACAGUGCCUGAAUGUAAAUAAUGCUUUACUCUUAUUUACAAAUCAAGAGGGUUUUUUUCUUAGUUAUGUUUACAAAAAUGUAUUCAUGUUCUGAUUUUCUUUAUGCAGAAAUGAAAGUACCUGAAUUCCAAGGCAGAGAGGGUUUGGUGAGCAGAAGAGGUAGGAGCCUGGUUGCACUGUGUGUUAUAUAAACAAUGUGCUGGUUUUGAAAGCAGACCUAGAGGCAUUUGAAAUGCAUUUAUUUAGGCCAGGAAUUAAUCUGGGCCUACCAGUAAUGGAUUCACAGAGCAAUUGUGUGCUUGCUCAGCUCAUAGGCUGGCAGGUUUUACAUAUGUUACAUGAUUUGUACCAAUCAAUACAGAACGUGGACAUAUGUGCUCACAUCCGGAACAUAUGAGCCACGAGGGCAGGGAUUGAGUAGUGAUCUUGAUAGCACCUGGCACUGUCUGGAUUUCAGGAUAAAAAUACAUAUUUUAAUCUGUUUAUUUUUGAUGAGCUGUUGGAUUUCUGAGGCACAGAGUGGCAGCAGCCAUUUCAUUGCAUGACUCCUGCAGGAUGCAGCUCUACCACAGAGCAAAGCUGGGAGCUGCCUCCAUCACCUGGCUGGCCAAGAAGGAAAACUCCAAAUUCCAUGUGAAUGUAGCACAGGACAAGGAUCACAACACUGGAUCAAGGAUCUGCCCCCACUCACAGCACUGCCAAGGACAUGGCAAUGCAUUUUAAUUCUGGCUAUGAAAGUAGGGAAAAAAAAGUUCUAUCCACCAAGAAAAAGCUGGUUCUUUAUAUGGGAAAUAUGAAAUGGAAGCAAACCCCAAGGCUGUACGUAGAAACACCUUUCUGAGCCCUUCAGGGUGCCCAUAGCCCUUGUUUCUGGUUACCUGUCCAUCUCUCACAGCUUCUGGAGGCUCCAGAAACCCUCCAUAUUUCCAGACACAGUUCUGGAAGCAGCACUUUUUCCAUGGUGCUGGAGAACUUGCAGAACUCCAUCACUGAGGGCUGGGCCAGAGCAUUUGCCCAAGAGUUGGAUUUAAAGCCCUGUGUUCACCCAGCAAAAUCCAGGGCCUGAGUUGGCAAUACUCUCCCUUGAGCAGACUGGUGAGAACAAUGGAGGCCAGGAACUUGUAAUGGCCAGAGACCUUGUAACGGCUAGAGACUCAAGCCUGUGACAAAAAUCUUGCUGGUCAAGGCAAUUGCUAAAAAAAGGGGGAAAGGAGAAAAAAACCCCAACCAACCAAACCUGUCGUCUGUCCAGAUUGCUAACUAAAUAACCUGUAAGCUGCAAUAAUUCUGCAAAAGAUUCUUUCAGGAGUGCAUUUUAUUGUGAAAGUGGUUAUAAAUAAUAAUAAAGAAAUGCAUCGGUGUGUAGUCCACAAAGCAAGUAAAAACUUUCUUCCUCUU